Molecule: ribosomal RNA, 441 nt
Filed under: uncultured bacterium
Lineage: Bacteria
Description: partial 16S ribosomal RNA
Rfam family: Bacterial small subunit ribosomal RNA
Source: RNAcentral
CCUACGGGAGGCAGCAGUGGGGAAUAUUGCACAAUGGGGGAAACCCUGAUGCAGCAACGCAGCGUGAGUGAUGAAGUAUUUCGGUAUGUAAAGCUCUAUCAGUAUGGAAUAGAAAUGAAGGUAGCUUAAAGAUAAGCCUCGGCUAACUACGUGCCAGCAGCCGCGGUAAUACGUAGGGGGCAAGCGUUAUCCGGAUGUACUGGGUGUAAAGGGAGCGUAGACGGAAAGGCAAGUCAGAAGUGAAAACCCAAGGCUCAACCGUGGGACUGCAUUUGAAACUGUCAAACUAGAGUACAGGAGAGGUAAGAGGAAUUCCUGGUGUAGCGGUGAAAUGCGUAGAUAUUAGGAAGAACACCAGUGGCGAAGGCGGCUUACUGGGCUGUAACUGACGCUGAGGCACGAAAGCGUGGGUAGCAAACAGGAUUAGAUACCCUAGUAGUC